This is a long non-coding RNA of Chinchilla lanigera (long-tailed chinchilla), 3589 nucleotides long. RefSeq lists it as uncharacterized. Lineage: Eukaryota; Metazoa; Chordata; Mammalia; Rodentia; Chinchillidae. The record is from RefSeq and is a predicted model, not a curated record. The transcript has 5 exons.
GCGGCCGCUGGCGUCUGUCGGGGCUGGACGUCGGGGCGUCUGCUUUCGGGGCCGCUGCAGGGGCCGGUGCGGAGCGCGGGGCCGCGGGGCCUGCGGAGUGUGUGUGCGCGCGUGUGUCCGUGAGUGUGCACGCGCGCGUGUGUCCGUGAGUGUGUCGCUCCGUGCGCGCGCUGCACGCCCUGCGCGUUGCUGUCCGGGGCGAGUGUCCCCGCGCGGGCCCGGCACGGGGCAGCCCCGCUGAAGCUCUCAGGUGUGCCGGGGAGCCAGCGGCCUGCCGCGGACGCCCGCGGAGGGGCUGCGGGCGGCAGAGUGCGGUCCUGGGGUGCACGCCAGGGCAGAAUUUGAGCACUUUGCGUCCUCCCCCGUCCGGGCGAAGGCGCGGCUGAAGCGUGGUCGUCACCAGGUCGCCGCCAGCCUCCUACGAGUUCAGAAAGUGCGCGACAGGAAUCAUUGAUUCAUAUCAACGUGUUUGUUUUGUUCAGUCAAGAGAUUGUGAUAACUGAACAAUUUCCUCUUUCAACUAAACUUGGAAAAACUAUGUCCAGUUUCAAAUGCAAGCAUGUCACAGGUAUUAACCAUCCCUAGCCCCAAAUAUUGGAAGGUGGAAAACCAGGCCAAACGUGUAUGACUGAGUGAGCAUGGCCUCAACCAAUGAAAGUCUGCCCCUGAAAAAUUAUCUCUCAGAUGAACACAGAAUGGAUAUGUCUGGAGAUUGACUGACUCUUAAGGACUAAGUGCAAAGGAGAUCCAAGGGAAGGCUGCAGGGCCAACCCGAGCAGGCUCCAAGCAGGAUGAGGCACAGCCAAGACCCCGCCGUUGGCUGCGGCUGUGCGAUACUCCAGUGCAGGUACUGUGGGUCACCCGCUGGCGCCGCCCCGGCUCCCGCUGGCAGCACCACCUCGCUUGGGUGCCUCCAAGAGGCUGCACUCCAGCGCCACUGCAGCUGCCGCGGGGAGUCUCUGACCCUGAAUCUUGGUUCCUCCAUUAACGUUCAAAGUCCAGACAGGAGCCUCUGCCUGGCUCUGCUCUACCUGCCGCGGAUCAUGGGAUAUUUCCUCUUCCUUAGCUUCCACAGUGCGGUACAGGGCCUUCUCCCCACCCACCUUGCAAUUUCCCCUAAAUCGAACGCAAGGUUAUACACUGAGAAGCCAAAAAAACACUCAAUAUCCAGUAGGGCAUCACUAACUGACAUCUGAGGGAUUCUUGUCAGUUUACAAAGGCUUUGACACGUUUUCAUCCAAUUCUUAGUACAACAUAGAAAGUACUUCCAUCUUUGAGAUAAACAACUAUAGCUCCAAGAGGUUAACUGCCUAACUCAAAGUUGCAAUCCCAGCAGGAAAAUUAAAACUUUUGCAUGCCUGUCAUCUGUGAAAUACAGACCUCAGUGUUUUCACAUGCAAUUUCUUAUCUGAGUCUCACAAAACUUUGUGACAGAGCAUAAUUAGUCCCAUUACUCCCCGGAGGAAUAGAGGCCCUGGCCAGUGACGGAACAGGGACUUGUUCAAGGCUCUGACUCCAAAUCCUAUUCUCACUUCACGGCCCAGGGAGGCUGCUUGGCUGAGUUCUUCCCCUCCACCCCCCAACACUUUCUGUCUCCUGUUCAUACCAGCUACUCUCACACCCCUCUCGUGUCAGAAAUGUUUGUUAGAUGAAUACAUCUCCAACACUUUCCCUAAGGCACUAGCCAUGGGAGGAUAUUCUGUAAAGUUGUUUUCUGACAGUUUUCCUCUAGAGGGCUGGUCAAUAUGAAGAUGCAAAAUGGAAACAGAUUUGUUUUCUGGGGGCGAUUUCUUUACUCUGGACAUAUUUCAUAUCAACUAUGUCACACAAAUGUAAACAGUACCAAAUGCUGAGAAUGCUAACAAGGAGACAUAUCUGCGUGGUGUGCAUGCCAUGUGAUUUGUUGUUCACGAUCACAGUUCAGUGAGCUCUUCAGUGUUCAUGAUACAGGAGCCCUGCUUUCUCGUGUAAGCGGCUUCCGUUUCGGGAGCACAUCUGGAGAUGCUGCGCUGGGACGGGGUAAGGGCUCACGGGCAGUCACCUCUUCUUGAUUGUGGCAAACACCUGAGGGUUUUCAGGAUAUGGCUCCCAGCAGAGUCAAGCCGUGCCUUAGGCAUAGAGCUUAACUUUGCUCCCAGAUACCGUUCUUGCUGAUUCUGUACUUCCAGACGUUGGUCCAGGGCUCGAAGACUUCCCUGUGCUUCUUUGCCUUGGCUUCUCUUUCUGGACUCCAUCUUGCUUGCUGUGAGGAUUGCUGACUACUUCGUUUUCCCCGCCUAUGUUAUGUUUCUUACUCUGUCCUAGAAGAACUCAGUUCUUUCUAGGAUUUUGAGUUAAAGGAGACUGACCAGCUGGAUAUCUACUUACAGUUGUGGAAAAGAUUUGCUUAGACAAAGCCCGAGCAGUAAUGCAAUGCUGUUUCUUUCUAUUUCUCCAGCACUUAGGUCAUACCCAUAUUUGAUAGCUCCGUGGUUCCUUUAUUAAGCAGUUGGAUAAAGAGCAGCUGAAGGUAGCUCAGAAAGGUCCUUAACCUUUGUAUUGUAAACUAACUUGAAGAAGAGCCAGUAGGCCUGACCAGGGGGAGAGUGUGGGGUGGGCCUAGUGGAUGAGUGUGGACCUAUUGUUGCCUGAUGCAAAUAUUCAUGAGGAGUAUCCAUUUUCUUUUGUUUUUCUGACAGCACAGAGACGUUAACCGGCAUUCAGAUUUGUGGUUCGCUGGUUUCCUGAGAGCGGAUCCUGGUGCACAGAAAGGCUUCUUCUCACUGCCAUCCUUCAGCAGGGCUUUUGCUUUGGCUCAAAGAAACUGCUUACAGAGAAAGGGAGAGGUCUGAGCUCUGGGGAACUGAGUUUGGUCAUAGAAGCAUCCUUCGGGGCACAAAACCUGGAGUCUUUCUCAAUGCUUCUGGUGAAACUACAGCUCUAAAAGAAUUUGGGACGCGCACCCCCAAUCACUUACUUAUUCAUUUCAGCAUUUCUAGAUUUGCUCACAUGUUAGAUUUUUAGUAAAUAAGAUCGAGAACUUCUCAUGGUCUAGCUGAGCCAGACUCUUAAACUGAUAAGUCACAGCAGAAUGUGGUAAGAGCUCUACAGCUCCACAGGAUAUGGUAACCAAUGGGGAGAGGAUAUUUUGCACAAGAUUUUAAAAUACCAGACUUCACUUUGGUCUCUGCGGUGAAGUUUCUCUUUCAGAGUUGGUCAGGCAUUUCUACCCUGGCAACACAACAGACCUCCAACUAUUCUUGGUACAAGUGAAGCCUGGGGUGUGGGCACGGGUUGGAACUCGGACCUUGGAGAAGAUUCCAGGAGGAAGUCUGGAUGCAAAUGGGGCCUCAGUGUAAAAAUGGGUUUUUAUAGUCAAGAAAGUCUUAUAAAUAAUUUUAUUUUUCUAAGAAUCAGAAUAAAUUGGGAUUUAGGAUUUACAGAUAUAAAUGUUAUUUACACACACACACGUUCACACCACAAAUGUGUGUGUGUGUUUAUCUCUCUCUAUAUGUAGAUAUAGAGAUGCAUACAUACAUUUUUUUCACAAAAUUACUAUUCUUUUUCACAGCGUUACUAAAUAAGCAAAUACUGGUUAUCUUAUUUUUUU